GCUUCUAUGGUCUAGUGGUUAUGACUCCGGAUUUUGAUUCCGGCAACCCCGGUUCGAAUCCGGGUAGGAGCU
This is a non-coding RNA of Aspergillus lentulus, 72 nucleotides long. The record is from the annotation of a RefSeq genome assembly. NCBI's taxonomy places the organism in Eukaryota, Fungi, Ascomycota, Eurotiomycetes, Eurotiales, Aspergillaceae.